This is a long non-coding RNA of Gallus gallus (chicken), 1547 nucleotides long. RefSeq lists it as uncharacterized. Lineage: Eukaryota; Metazoa; Chordata; Aves; Galliformes; Phasianidae. The transcript is spliced from 2 exons. The record is from RefSeq and is a predicted model, not a curated record.
AGAGGUUGCACAGAAAAGGCUGCAGGAGAAGGUAGGCGGCGACCGCUGAAGGGUGAAAAGAAUGACUGAGGAGCGAAGAGGAAACACCAAGAAGUGAUGAGGUGCCAGGAGGAUGGAGAGCUAUUGUGGAACACGCCAUGGAAGAGGUUCUGUUGGUGUCCACCUGCCCUCUGCCUGAAAGGGAGCUGUGGAGGAAGGAAGGCUGCGACAGGGAAUGAGAAAGACCAUGUAAGGAAAAGAACUGAAUUUAACUGGCACAUGCUCUAAUCCUUAGUUUAUUUCUGGUUAAAAAUAUAGCAAUCCAGUGCAGUGUAAUAAGAAAUCUGCUGAAAAGGUAGCAGAGAAACAGCUAAAACAGAAGCGAAGCGAAGCGGAGUCCGCUGCUCCCCACAGCAUUGCAUGUGGCACGCAGAGCAGGGCCCCCGUGGGUCACAUCCUGCCUCGGGGGCACAGGGUUGUGUCCUUGGCCAUGGCCAACCCAAACCGUGUCAGUGGGGGCUGGGAGGAGACGUGGCAGGGCAGGGGAGCACAGGGGACCGGGCGUGGGGUCAUCAGCCUUUACCAAGCCAGGACCACACUCCUGUGAUUGGGACCAUAACAGCUCAGAACAGGGAUACGGCAUCUUUAAUGAGUAUGCAUUAUUAUCGGUGGGGAGAGGGGAGGGGAGAAAAUCAAGGCAGGCAUAUUACAAAGAUGGUAUAAACAAACAAAUUAAGUGACAUAGAAAAGAAAGAAAAGAAUACAUCCUUAGAGGCUGCCAUUGCCAAUGAUGUUGCUUUUUUCUUUUUUUUUCCUCUUUUUUUCUUUUUUUCUUUCUUUUUUUUUUUUUUUACAGGGACAUGUUGGAAGCUGGAAUAUACAUCCUGCAUUACAAAGUGCAAAAUACUACAUGCUCAGAGCCCAAGCAUGAUGUCUGAAACAGUCCACGGCAAGAUGUAAGAGACAAACCCACCACCCUCUCCCUCCUCUCUGGGACAUGCUCCAGUGCCCCUCCCCAGGUGCCUUGUAAAAAAAAAAAAAAAAAAAAAAAAAAAAUUAAUCUUAUUUUGCUUAAUUUUACUAUUAUUGAUAUAUUCUUGUUUUUGUACUAGGUGGGUCGGAAUCGAGCCCUCUCUCGCCGCCCGUCUGCUCCCCGGCAUCUCUGUGCAUGUACGUGGUUGGGAUGGGAUGCUCAGCUCCACUCGUGUCGCUGGAGAUGCCUGCGUGUGGUUGGGGGCCCUGGGCAUGGUACCAACCCAGAAGGAAGAGCUGUGAGCAGCACUCAGCCCUGGGAGGUGUGCCAGCCCUGCUGCGUGGGGAGGGGGUAGGAGGGGGCAGGAGUGUUCCCCCAUGCCCUAAGGAGUUCUACAAAGACACGGAUUGCAGCUUGGUUUUUGACAAUCCCAUCCUUCACAUCCCGGCAGGGCUUUGGCCUUCCUGUGCUCCUCUCCUCCGUUCACAACCUGCUCUGGCUUUUGUCUCCUAUUUUCUCUAUUGUGAAAGCUGUCGGAUCCCCCCCCAGGAAGCUCAGCCCGGAGCAUCCCGGGAUCCACACACCCUCACACCCA